CUCAGCUCUAACUUCGUAGUUACAGAUCAGAACUGCUCAGUUCACCUUCUCAAGAUGAGGUUCCCUGCUCAGCUCUUGGGGCUGUUAAUGCUCUGGGUCCCUGGAUCAAGUGGGGAUAUUGUGAUGACCCAGACUCCACUCUCCCUGCCAGUCACCCCUGGAGAGCCGGCCUCCAUCUCCUGCAGGUCUAGUCAGAGCCUCCUGCAUAGUGAUGGAAGAACCUAUUUGUAUUGGUACCUGCAGAAGCCAGGGCAGCCUCCACGGCUCCUAAUUUAUACAGUUUCCAACCGGUUCUCUGGGGUGCCAGACAGGUUCAGUGGCAGUGGAUCAGGCACAGAUUUCACACUGAAAAUCAGCCGGGUGGAGGCUGAGGAUGUUGGGGUUUAUUACUGCAUGCAAGCUUUACAAAAUCCUCCCACGUUGAUACAGCCCUUAACAGAAACCUCCCUGUUUGCAUGGCCCAGCUGCCCACAUGUACUGCUUGUCUGGGGAGCAGCUCAGCAGGGUCUCUGAGUCUGCAGAGAGGAGGCUGUUGGAGAACUCAGGGCAGAGCUUGCUGCUGAGGACUCUGGCCCAUGAGAGCCUCAGCUGUGCCUCAGUGUCACAUGGCAGCGCUCAAUCAGCUGUCACAGCAUGAGGAUGGCAUCAGCAGUAGAACUAUUCAGAUGUUUCAAGUGUCCUAGAAGCAAACAGCUCUGAUGGAGGGAGAGUGAAUGAAAGUUCAUCCUCACCCUCCCUGUCUGGCCCACACGUGUCAAGUACAUUUAUUUGGCAGAACAACCAGACAAUGGAAGCAAAUUAGUGCCAACUCAAGUAGAAUAUGUGUUGGAAAUAAACAGUUCGAAGUUGAGUUUAUUCAAGUUAAUACUUGGUAAUAUGGGAAAAGUAUUACUUUCUCACUUUCCGAACAUACUAUUCUCCUUUAUCACUUAACUAAACUGCCCUUUUCAUUAACAUGUUCGAGAACGCAUUCUAUGCAAGCUGCCCUCAGGGAAGUAUGGCUAAGAAUAGUCAGCAAAUAUGUUUGAUUGACUAUUCAUAGACUUUGUAGACCCACUGCGUAUAUAAAAUCCUCAUGCCAAAUAUCUUAAAUUUGAUUCAGUUACCAUUUGUUCAGUGAAAAGGAAGUUCUUGCAGUUACAAAAGUGAACUCUGAAAACAAAGAAAUCAUAAACUGGAAGAUGGAGAACAGAAAGUUUACUUCAUUUACUACAAGAGAAAUGUAGAAUGAAUACAAUAUGUCAGCAAUUAGGUUGCUGUUGUAUUUCCCUGAUGUGAAUUGUAGGAUCUCAGGCCUGUGGUCUUAUUUAACUACAGAAAAGCCUUUCAAGUGUGGACACUCGUUACUUUCCGGAGUAUCUGGAAUGAUCUACGGUAGAGAAGCUACUAAAAAUUACAUUAAAAAAGAAAAAGAUGGCUGUUUUUGAUGAUGGGUGACUAGAGGUAGCCAGGAAGAGCUGCUCCCACUGAGAGAAACCAGACCAUCAAGUGGACCAGCGCACUCUAGACAGAUCUUUGGGAAGAAGACUUUUAAAGUGGAAACAGGGAGGACACAUCCUGGGCUGGAAGGGGAGGAAGCUGGGAACCCUGUGCGGGGUUUCUGAAUACCAGGACUCCUCCUGACCCUUAGUGGCCCCUAGGGAAGGGGUAAGUGAAACAGGCAUGGAGCAUCCCACACUUGCCAUAGAACUCCAUAAUCCUAGCUCUGGAAAAACCUAUGACCCCCGCAGACAUUUGAGUUGGCAAGUAGAACUGCCUGUAGACUGGGCAGAGAGAGAACUUCAGUCCUGCAGAGAGUACAGAGGGUUUGGAGUGGGAGAGGCUGAAGUGGAGCAUGGCCAUGGGCACCAGCCCCCCAAGGCCUGGCUAAUUUUUUGUAUUUUUGGUAACAGUGUUUCACCAUGUUAGCCAGGAUGAUCUCGAUCUCUCGACCUCGUGAUCUGUCCGCCAUGCCCUCCCAAAGUGCUGGGAUUACAGGCAUGAGCCAUGGCGCCCAGCCCCAAAGAAGAUUUUUAGCCAUUCAGAGAAUGCUUGCUUUUCAUAUCACAGAAAACUUCACCCACAUCUGUUAGCAGUAGGUAAGAUAAGCCCCAGGUUAUGAAAAUUGCAAACCACUUCUGCCCUCUGGAUACCUCAGACCCAGAGUAAGCUGUUGUCUGGCUACCCCUAGACACAGAAGCCCUUUCUCCAAUGUUCCUUCACCUUAGGAGUUCCCUUGGUCUCCACCUUUUCUGAGUAGCAACCCCAACAUCUUUGAUUCUAGACAGUCUCCUGCUGUGAGGGACUCCUUUGGGCAAAUCUCUCAAAGCUUCACCCAACAGUCAUGUGUGCUGCUGCCACCCUACGGACAUUGUUUUCUCUUUGAUCAGAACCCCAAUUUCUCAAACUCUCUGUGAACAGAGCCACACUGUCCACCCGACAAACGGACUCCGGCGUAAUGGACUCAGUUCCACUUCUGAGACUGACUUCCCAAGUCAUACAAAUAAUACACUUGUCUUCAAUUUUACGGACUCCAAACUAACAGCAUCUGGCAAGUGACAUGCAGUAAACUCCACCUGUUUGAGUCCUUCCUCAUUCAAGUGAUCAUGGUCCAGAUGAGAGAAAUACAGAGGCCCGCUCCACUUCUGGAUCAAAUGGAGGCUGUUCAUCUACCUUUUUAUCUGUGUCCCCGUGGAGUGACUAGCUUUGUCUGCUGUUGUGAAGCCUCUGCAUAUUCUACUAACAUUCAGGAGACAGAUUCCUGUUUAGAAUGAAGAAUAUUAUUCUUUAAGUUUAACAGUAUAGGGCAAUUUCAAGGCCUUUAGUAUAGGGUGACUUCAGAACCUUUUUAUUACUGAAAAAAUUUUUUACAAGCUUUUACAUUUUCAAAUAUGUAAUGACAAGAGAUUAUGAGAUAAAACAACCAAUCCCAAUGGUAACCUUUUUAAAGCUUUGUCAUUAAUUUUCAAAGGAAGCCACAGUACUCUCUGAAAUUCAGCACCCUAAAGAAUACUUUGUAAAACUAAGAUUUGAAGAAUUGGCUCAUAGUAAAAGCAAGCCUGAUAGAUUUAUUACUGUAAUUCAUUUUCCCACAGUGCAAGUUUCUAUAUUGGAUAGUGGGUGGAACUGAUUAUUCAUUUAACACCUUUUCAGACUAAUCCGUUUAUACCAGUGAUAAGAUGUACCUUAAUGUUCUCUUUUAGAUUGUGUGUUUCUUUUGUGUGUUUACUUUUAUUUUUCUUUUCAGUAUCUGAUGUUUCUAACCCUUUUAAAUAUUAUGAUGAAUUAGGAGUUUGACAUGUUCAGGGCUAAGAACCAUAUUUGAUCUGAUCAGCAUCACAAGGAAGAAGAAGUCAAUGCCAGGCACAGUGGCUCACUCCUGUAAUCCCAGCACUUUGGGAGGCCAAGGCAGGUGGAUCGCU
Non-coding RNA from Chlorocebus sabaeus (green monkey), 3401 nucleotides. The record is from the annotation of a RefSeq genome assembly. NCBI's taxonomy places the organism in Eukaryota, Metazoa, Chordata, Mammalia, Primates, Cercopithecidae.